This 468-nucleotide ribosomal RNA is filed under the name uncultured bacterium. Its description in RNAcentral is "partial 16S ribosomal RNA". It matches the Rfam family "Bacterial small subunit ribosomal RNA", at positions 28 to 507 of the family's 1533-position model. The record is from RNAcentral.
GACGAACGCUGGCGGCGUGCUUAACACAUGCAAGUCGAACGGAAAGGCCCUGCUUUUGUGGGGUGCUCGAGUGGCGAACGGGUGAGUAACACGUGAGUAACCUGCCCUUGACUUUGGGAUAACUUCAGGAAACUGGGGCUAAUACCGGAUAGGAGCUCCUGCGGCAGGGUGGGGGUUGGAAAGUUUCGGCGGUUGGGGAUGGACUCGCGGCUUAUCAGCUUGUUGGUGGGGUAGUGGCUUACCAAGGCUUUGACGGGUAGCCGGCAUGAGAGGGUGACCGGCCCCAUUGGGACUGCGAUAGGGCCCAGACUGCUACGGGAGGCAGCAGUGGGGAAUAUUGCACAAUGGGCGGAAGCCUGAUGCAGAGACGCCGCGUGCGGGAUGCCGGCCUUCGGGUUGUAAAACGCUUUCGCCUGUGACGAAGCGUGAGUGACGGUAAUGGGUAAAGAAGCACCGGCUAACUACGUG